AGCAACUCUCUCGGGUCCCCUUCCAUGCUGUGGAAGCUUUGUUCUUUUGCUCUUCACAAUAAAUCUUGCUGCUGCUCACUCUUUAGGUCCUCACUACCUUUAUGAGCUGUAACACUCACUGUGAAGGUCUGCAGCUUCACUCCUGAAGUCAGUGAGAUCACAAACCCAUUGGGAGGAAUGAAAAACUCUGGAUGUGCUACCUUUAAGAGCUGUAACACUCACUGCAAAGGUCUGCGGCCUCACUCCAGAAGUCAGUGAGACCAUGAACCCACUAGGAGCAAGAAACUCUGGAGACAUCUGAACAUUUGAAGGAAGGAACUCCGGACACACCAUCUUUAAGAACUGUAAUACUCACUGUGAGGGUCUGAGGCUUCAUUCUUGAAGUCAGCAAGACCAAGAACCCACCAGAAGGAACCAAUUCCGGACACAUUUUGGCAACCCAGAUGGGACAAUCACCAAGUGUUAAGGUGGCAGGAGUGGAAUCUUGGAUUUACCACAUCCAAUAUAAAUUUUGGACACCCCCUGAGGAACCUGUGGGACUGUCAGCUCAGGAGUCCCAAGAUCAGCCAGACCAGCCUCGAUACACCUGUGAACUGUUGGAGGACUUGCAUCUCCUAUUUCAGAAGGAAACAUCCCAGACUAAAAAGGCUCCUACCACUGAUCCUGAAGAAAAACUCCUUCCUCCUUAAAAAAGAUAAGUGAAAACCUAUAUAAUCUUUAUCUUUAACACCUCUCCUUGCCCCUUUAAUGGAAUUCUUUUACUAUUUCAUCAUAUUGUUAAGUAGUAUACUAACCAUACCCUUUGCAAUAGGACUAUAUACAGUAAGUAGCUCCUGCUGGGAUGAAAAUCCAAAUCACAUCAACCUUCUUUCUAUAUUCCUUCCUUCUGACAGCGAUUUACUUCUACCUUUAACUCAGACUGGAUAAGAUGAUCUCAUCUUCCAGAGCACCCUCUUUACCUUCCUAUUUACUCUUUGCCUAUCUAUCCCUGCUGCUUCCUUGGAUAUCUCAUACAAUCACCCCUCCCCUUCCACUAGCUCCUAAUUACCUCUACAAGACUCUCAACUUAACCCACUCUCUGUUAAACCAGUCCAAUCCUUCCCUGGCAAAUUGCUGUUGGCUUUGUAUCUCUCUAUCAACUUCUGCUUAUGUUGCCACUCCCAUUCCCGCAAAAAAAUUGGGUUUUUACCAACUUAACCUACCACCCUCAUUAUGAAGGAAAAGACCCUUUCUGACUUCUAAAUAUGCAAUCAUUAGCUGACUUCCCCAUCUCUGAUAGGACCAAGAGUACCCUAACAGGACGUGCAUUCCAACUUUUACGUUCUUACAUUUCCAACCUCACCUAUUACACAAGCAAUGAAAAGCCCAUACAUGGCCCUAUAACUAUGAGUACCAUCCUAAUUUUCCAAGCCCCUUUAUGCAUCCAACACAACCUAUUAUCAGGCCUGCCCCUGGGGCACCUACUACCCCAUCAGUGUAAUAUCACCCUACAACUUCAAGUCCCAACUGAUCAUAGGAACUUCCGAGUCACCCAAACAAUUCCAUUCAGAUGGCUUGUCUGAUUCUCAGGGCCCCCCAAAAUCAUCAACUCCUCCCUGCUUAACAAACAGUCCAGGUUUUGUAAUGGCAAACAUACUCCCUGUAUGACCAUUCACCCCUGGACAUCCUACAGAAGUGCCCCCACCACUAGUGAAUGCCUUCUCAUCCCCUCUUUCAAUCACACUCUCGAAUGGUUCCUAGUAGGUAUGAAAUGGUUUUUUCUCCAAUAGGAAAAUAGAAUAUAGGUAGCCACUCAGUUUGCUCCCAACACCCCUUUCCAGCCAUUCACUGGAGCUACCUUUGCAAAUACUCUAGGAGUAUGGGAAAAUGAAAACAACAAACUCACACAUCUUUUUAACAAAAAUAACCAGUUCUGUCUACCCAGAGAAGUAUAUUCUUCUUAUGUGGAUCAUCGAUGUAUAUCUGCCUCCGCACUAACUGGAAAGGCACCUGCACCUUAGUCUUUCUAAGUCCCAACAUUAACAUUUCCCCCAGGAAAUCAGACCCUAUCAGUACCCCUCAAAGCCCAAGUCUGUCAGUGCAGAGCCAUACAACGAAUACCCCUACUUAUAGGGUUAAGAAUGGCUACUGCUACAGGAACUGGAAUAGCCAGUUUAUCUACUUCAUUAUCCUACUACCACACACACUCAAAGUAUUUCUCAGACAGUUUGCAAGAAAUAACGAAAGCUAUCCUUACUCUACAAUCCCAAAUAGACUCUUUGGCAGCAGCGACUCUCCAAAACCACUGAGGCCUAGACCUCCUCACUGCUGAGAAAGGAGGACUCUGCACCUUCUUAGGGGAAAGUGUUGUUUUUACACUAACCAGUCAGGGAUAGUACGAGAUGCUGCCUGGUGUUUACAGGAAAAGGCUUCUGAAAUCAGACAAUGACUUUCAAACUCUUAUACCAACCUCUAGAGUUGGGCAACAUGGCUUCUUCCCUUUCUAGGUCCUGUGGCAGCCAUUUUGUUAUUACUCGCCUUCAGGCCAUUUUUAACCUCCUUGUCAAAUUUGUUUCCUCUAGGAUCAAGGCCAUCAAGCUACAGAUGGUCUUACAAAUGGAAACCCAAAUGAGCUCAACUAACAACUUCUACUGAGGACCUCUGGACUAACCAGCUGGCCCUUUCACUGGCCUAAAGUGUUCCCCUCUUGAGGACACUACAACUGCAAGGCCCUUUCUUUGCCUCUAUCCAGCAGGAAGUAGCUAGAGUGGUCAUCACCCAAUUCCCAACAGCAUUUGGGGUGUCCUGUUUAGAGGGGAGAUUAAGAGAUGAAGCUGGCUGGGCUUCUGGGUGAGGUGGGGACUUGGAGAACGUUUCUGUCUAGCUAAAGGAUUGUAUACACACCAAUCAGUGCUCUGUGUCUAGCUAAAUGUUUGUAAACGCACCAAUCAGCAUGCUGUAAAAACGCACCAAUCAGCACUCUGUGUCUAGCUAAAGGUUUGUAAACGCACCAAUUAGCACUCUGUAAAAACGGACGAAUCAGCACUUUGUAAAAUGGACCAAUCAGCAGGAUGUGGGCGGGGCCAAAUAAGGGAAUAAAAGCUGGCCACCCAAGCCAGCAGCGGCAACCCACUUGGGUCCCCUUCCAAGCUGUGGAAGGUUUGUUCUCUUGCUCUUUGCAAUAAAUCUUGCUGCUGCUCACUCUUUGGGUCCACACUACCUUUAUGAGCUGUAACACACACUGCAAAGGUCUGCAGCUUCACUCCUGAAGUCAGCAAGACCACGAACCCACCAAGAGGAACAAACAACUCCAGAUGCGCCAACUUUAAGAGCUGUAACACUCACUGCGAAGGUCUGCAGCUCCACUCCUGAAGUCAGUGAGACCAUGCACCCACCAGGAGGAACAAACAACUCUGGAUGUGCCAUCUUUAAGAGCUGUAACACUCACUGCAAAGGUCUGCAGCUUCACUCCUGAAGUCAGCAAGACCAUGAACCCACGAGAAGAAAGAAACUCUGGACAAAUCUGAACAUCUGAAGGAAUAAACUCUGGAUACACCAUCUUUAAGAACUGUAACACUCACUGCAAGGGUCUGUGGCUUCAUUCUUGAAGUCGGUGAGACAAAGAACCCACCAGAAAGAACCAAUUCCAGACACAAUAUGACAAAACAUGACUCUUUACCACUCCCCCAAAAUCACAGUAGCUCACCAGUAAUAGAUCCAAACCAAGAAGAAUUCUCUGAAUUGCCAGAAAAAGAAUGCAAAAGGUUGAUUAUUAAGCUACUCAAGGAGGCACCAGAGAAAGACAAAUAACAACUUAAAGAAAUUAAAAAAAAAGAAGAUACAGGAUAUAGAUGGAAAAAUCUCCAGAGAAAUAGAUAGCAUAAAUAAAAAACAAUCACAACUUCUAAAAAUGAAGGACACACUUAGAGAAAUGCAAAAUACAAUGGAAAGUCUUAGAAAUAGAAUCAAACAAGUAGAAGAAAGAACUUCAGAGCUAGAAGACAAGCUUUUGCAUUAAUGCUAUCUGACAAAGAGAAACAAUUAAAAAAUUUUAAAAAAAUGAGCAAAGCCUCAAAAAAGUUUGGGAUUAUGUUAAACAACAAGACCUAAGAAUAGGGGGAGGAGCCAAGUGGCCGAAUAGGAACAGCUCCAGUCUACAG
Molecule: long non-coding RNA, 4139 nt
Filed under: Homo sapiens (human)
Lineage: Eukaryota; Metazoa; Chordata; Mammalia; Primates; Hominidae
Description: HSALNT0335519
Source: RNAcentral